GUCGGGAUAGCUCAGCUGGUAGAGCAGAGGACUGAAAAUCCUCGUGUCAUUCCAGAUU
Molecule: transfer RNA, 58 nt
Filed under: Macleaya cordata
Lineage: Eukaryota; Viridiplantae; Streptophyta; Magnoliopsida; Ranunculales; Papaveraceae
Rfam family: tRNA
About the family: Transfer RNA (tRNA) molecules are approximately 80 nucleotides in length. Their secondary structure includes four short double-helical elements and three loops (D, anti-codon, and T loops).
Source: Rfam by way of RNAcentral